GAUGAACGCUGGCGGCGUGCUUAACACAUGCAAGUCGAACGAUGAAGCCCAGCUUGCUGGGUGGAUUAGUGGCGAACGGGUGAGUAACACGUGAGUAACCUGCCCUUAACUCUGGGAUAAGCCUGGUAAACUGGGUCUAAUACCGGAUAGGAGCGUCCACCGCAUGGUGGGUGUUGGAAAGAUUUAUCGGUUUUGGAUGGACUCGCGGGCUAUCAGCUUGUUGGUGAGGUAAUGGCUCACCAAGGCGACGACGGGUAGCCGGCCUGGGAGGGUGACCGGCCACACUGGGACUGAGACACGGCCCAGACUCCUACGGGCGGCAGCAGUGGGGAAUAUUGCACAGUGGGCGCAAGCCUGAUGCAGCGACGCCGCGUGAGGGAUGACGGCCUUCGGGUUGUAAACCUCUUUCAGUAGGGAAGAAGCGAAAGUGACGGUACCUGCAGAAGAAGCACCGGCUAACUACGUG
Molecule: ribosomal RNA, 466 nt
Filed under: uncultured bacterium
Lineage: Bacteria
Description: partial 16S ribosomal RNA
Rfam family: Bacterial small subunit ribosomal RNA
Source: RNAcentral